RNAcentral lists this ribosomal RNA (2286 nucleotides) under Triticum aestivum (bread wheat). RNAcentral's name for it is "partial small subunit ribosomal RNA". Lineage: Eukaryota; Viridiplantae; Streptophyta; Magnoliopsida; Poales; Poaceae. The record is from RNAcentral.
AUGACGUGGCGCCAGAAGUCCACGACACCAUGUGUGACAGUGUGGUCACGCAAGAAAACAACAAAUACGUGUUGCCAGAACAACCGGAAACUUCGGCAACACAGAGCGAUGCUCCAGACGAUGGCGCGCGGCGAGACGCGUCAGGGACCUCACCUGGAUCAGCUGGCGUCCCAGGAACAGGAGUUGCAGCCUCUCCUCGAAGCACAAGGAGCAGCACCUGGAUCAGCUGGCGUCCCAGGAACAGGAGUUGCAGCCUCUCCUCGAAGCACAAGGAGCAGCGCGAGGAGCGCGUCCAGUGCUGGCGCUACAAGCGACAAGCAUGGCCUACGAGGCGUGCACGCUGUGCCAUGCAGCUCAGCCAGCUGCACUGGAGGCAGUGGCCCCACGGACGGGCCGAAAGCUGGGCGUGACCCAGCACCAAGCUCCCAGCCGGGGAGCCCAGCAGGCAGGCCGGCUACUGGCAGGCCAGAACAGCCAGAAGUCCCAAGCCACGUGUCAGGAAGUCUAGAAGGGCAUGCACGUGAAGGUGCUCCAGAUUUCAUGGCUGUUUCAUCUGGUGAACGUCCAACCAGCUCGGGAGUGCCCCAAUCGCCAGAAAAUGAAACUUUGGCAAGUUCAGAAGCAAUUGUGUCUUCUCCGAUAGCACAGGAGCGACGCAGUCGCGCCUUGGACAUCUCUUCAGAGGAAGCGCUUCAAAUUAAUUCGGUGAAGAUGAAGAGUAAAGAGCAACGACGUUGGUAUAUCGAGGAACCGGAAAAUUUCGAAGAUGCAAAGACGGAAGAGUGUUGGCGUCGUGCUAUGGAUGACGAAUUGGGUUCGAUCCGAGACAACAAUACAUGGGAGCUCGCGGAUCUUCCCAACGGACAUAAUGCCAUAGAGCUCAAGUGGGAGUACGAAGUUAAGAAGGGUGCCGAAGGGAACUUGGUGAAGCACAAAGCAAGGCUCGUGGCUAAGUCAAACGUGCAAGACCAAGGUGUGGACUUCGAAGAAGUGUUCGCUCCACUUACAAGGAUGGACACGGUGAGGCUACUUAUAGCUCUCGCGGCUCAAGAAUCUUGGACUCUACAUCACAUGGAUGUGAACUCCACGUUGUUGACUGGGGAGUUAGAAGAAGAGUUGUAUGUGAAGCAACCACCGGGGUACAUCCAAGAAGGAGAGGAACACAAGGUAUUGAAGCUACAGAAGGCGUUGUAUGGGCUACGACAAGCUCCUAGGGCAUGGAAUACGAAGCUUGACAGUACAUUGAUUUCUCUUGGGUUUGAGAAAGCCCCACUAGAGCAUGCAUUGUACAAGCGAGGCGAAGGAAGUGAUCGUCUACUAGUGGGCAUCUAUGUAGAUGAUCUAUUGAUUACUGGAGCAGACGAUGAGGUGAUUGCAAACUUCAAGCUACAAAUGGAGGAGCUAUUCAAGAUGACUGAUCUAGGGCUCUUGAGUUACUACCUCGGGAUCGAGAUACAGCAAAAGCCGGAGGGGAUCAUAAUAUGCCAGGAGGCAUAUGCAAAGAAGGUACUUGAAAGCUGUGGCAUGAAAGAUUGCAAUCCAAGUCAUGUUCCGAUGAAGCCUCGUCUGAGACUAAGCAAGAAGAGUGAAGCACCCGCGGUUGAUGCAACGGAGUAUAGAAGUGUGGUCCGAAGGUUGAGGUAUCUCACAAAUACAAGACCAGACUUGGCCUAUUCCGUUGGCAUGGUGAGUCGCUUCAUGGAAGCACCCACGACUGAACAUUGGGCAGCUGUAGAAAAUAUACUCAGGUACAUCAAAGGGACAACAAAUUUCGGUUGUGUCUAUUUGAGAGAGAAGAAGAAGGAGAUGGUGGAGCUACUUGGCUACAGUGAUAGCGAUAUGGCAGGAGAUGUGGACGACCGUAAAAGUACCUCGGGCAUGGCAUAUUUCUUGGGAGGAAGCAUAAUGAGUUGGCUAUCACAAAAGCAGAAGGUGGUCGCAUUAUCAUCUCAUGAAGUAGAGUAUGUUGCAGCUGCUACCGCGGUGUGUCAAGGCGUUUGCCUAGGAAGACUAGUCGGUGACCUCACAGGUAAGGAACCGGAACGAGUGAUGCUGAACGUUGACGACAAGUCUACAAUCUCUCUGUGGAAGAAUCCGGUGCAUCAUGGUCGAUGCAAGGACAUCGAUACAAGGUAUCGAUACCUAAGGGAGUGCGUGGAAGAAAGCAAAGUUGACGUCAACUACGUUUGCACCGAUGACCAGCUUGCAGAUAUCCUAACUAGAUCUUUGGGACGACAGAAGUUCGUGAAGAUACGGCGAAGGAUCGGUGUCCAAGCUGUGACGUGA